CAAUAGCGUAUAUUUAAGUUGUUGCAGUUAAAAAGCUCGUAGUUGGAUUUCGGAUGGGAUCUGCCGGUCCGUCUUUGAGACGUGUACUGGUAGGUCCUAUCUUGUUGUCGGGGACCAGCUCCUGGGCUUCACUGUCCGGGACUGGGAGCCGACGAAGUUACUUUGAGUAAAUUAGAGUGUUCAAAGCAAGCCUACGCUCUGAAUAUAUUAGCAUGGAGUAACACGAUAGGACUCUGGCUUAUCUUGUUGGUCUGUGAGACCAGAGUAAUGAUUAAGAGGGACAGUCGGUGGCAUUCGUAUUUCAUUGUCAGAGGUGAAAUUCUUGGAUUUAUGAAAGACGAACUACUGCGAAAGCAUUUGCCAAGGAUGUUUUCAUUAA
RNAcentral lists this ribosomal RNA (379 nucleotides) under uncultured eukaryote. RNAcentral describes it as "partial 18S ribosomal RNA". It matches the Rfam family "Eukaryotic small subunit ribosomal RNA", at positions 592 to 976 of the family's 1831-position model. The record is from RNAcentral.